RNAcentral lists this ribosomal RNA (461 nucleotides) under uncultured bacterium. Its description in RNAcentral is "bacterial SSU rRNA". It matches the Rfam family "Bacterial small subunit ribosomal RNA", at positions 340 to 790 of the family's 1533-position model. The record is from RNAcentral.
UACGGGAGGCAGCAGUGGGGAAUAUUGCACAAUGGGCGAAAGCCUGAUGCAGCUAUGCCGCGUGUAUGAAGAAGGCCUUAGGGUUGUAAAGUACUUUCAUCGGGGAGGAAAAACAAAACUAAUAAUUUUAUUUCUUGACGUUACCCGAAAAAGAAGCACCGGCUAACUCCGUGCCAGCAGCCGCGGUAAUACGGAGGGUGCUAGCGUUAAUCAGAAUUACUGGGCGUAAAGAGCACGUAGGUGGUUUUUUUAAAGUCAGAUGUGAAAUCCCUGGGCUUAACCUAGGAACUGCAUUUUGAAACUGAAAUACUAGAGUAUCGUAGAGGGAGGUAGAAUUCUAGGUGUAGCGGUGAAAUGCGUAGAUAUCUGGAGGAAUACCUGUGGCGAAAGCGGCCUCCUAAACGAAUACUGACACUGAGGUGCGAAAGCGUGGGGAGCAAACGAGGGAUUAGGAUACCCGU